RNAcentral lists this ribosomal RNA (689 nucleotides) under uncultured Pseudomonadota bacterium. RNAcentral's name for it is "bacterial SSU rRNA". It matches the Rfam family "Bacterial small subunit ribosomal RNA", at positions 64 to 747 of the family's 1533-position model. Lineage: Bacteria; Pseudomonadati; Pseudomonadota. The record is from RNAcentral.
UAACAGGAAGAAGCUUGCUUCUUUGCUGACGAGUGGCGGACGGGUGAGUAAUGUCUGGGAAACUGCCUGAUGGAGGGGGAUAACUACUGGAAACGGUAGCUAAUACCGCAUAACGUCGCAAGACCAAAGAGGGGGACCUUCGGGCCUCUUGCCAUCGGAUGUGCCCAGAUGGGAUUAGCUAGUAGGUGGGGUAACGGCUCACCUAGGCGACGAUCCCUAGCUGGUCUGAGAGGAUGACCAGCCACACUGGAACUGAGACACGGUCCAGACUCCUACGGGAGGCAGCAGUGGGGAAUAUUGCACAAUGGGCGCAAGCCUGAUGCAGCCAUGCCGCGUGUAUGAAGAAGGCCUUCGGGUUGUAAAGUACUUUCAGCGGGGAGGAAGGGAGUAAAGUUAAUACCUUUGCUCAUUGACGUUACCCGCAGAAGAAGCACCGGCUAACUCCGUGCCAGCAGCCGCGGUAAUACGGAGGGUGCAAGCGUUAAUCGGAAUUGCUGGGCGUAAAGCGCACGCAGGCGGUUUGUUAAGUCAGAUGUGAAAUCCCCGGGCUCAACCUGGGAACUGCAUCUGAUACUGGCAAGCUUGAGUCUCGCAGAGGGGGGUAGAAUUCCAGGUGUAGCGGUGAAAUGCGUAGAGAUCUGGAGGAAUACCGGUGGCGAAGGCGGCCCCCUGGACUGAAGACUGACGCU